Long non-coding RNA from Balaenoptera musculus (blue whale), 1081 nucleotides. RefSeq lists it as uncharacterized. Lineage: Eukaryota; Metazoa; Chordata; Mammalia; Artiodactyla; Balaenopteridae. The record is from RefSeq and is a predicted model, not a curated record. The transcript has 3 exons.
UCCGACUGAGCAUGCUCGCCGGCUCGCGGCCGCGUCGGGCGCCCAGGUGGACCCAGCCGGGCCUCCGGUCGGGCCGCGCGGGGGUGGCGCAGGUGCGCGGUCCGGGAGCAGGCAUCCUUGACAAUUGCAUGAGGACACGAAGUUUUCACCUGCUUUUUCGAAGAUGAAGGCCUUGUCCUCACUCUCAGAUCAUUGCGCGGUGUCAGAGUCCAUUUUUUCUUCAGUUCUUCCUUCCUCUGAGACUCCACGUUCUCCAGGACCCUGCAGAGCGCGCUCGCGCCGCCUUGGAUGCACUUGGGUGGGCGUGGGAACUUGCUGCUAGCCUUCGGUUUCGGAGGAGAAGACGGGAAUGGAGAGCUUCCAGGGAAGGGAGGCUACAGGCAGGAGAGGAGUAAACUCAGGAACCCAGAGAGAUGCUUUCAGCUGGUCACUGGCCUGUCCACGCUGCCCUUAGACCUCGCUGGAUGCGGACCCUCCACCUGCACCACACUUUUCGGACCGUGUCAGCUUCCCCAUCAACCACAGAGCAAUGACCUUCCAGAAGGAUCCUCCCUCUGUGCUCCCGAUCCGUCCUCUGUGCCUCCACACACUUUUCUUUCUCAGCAAAUUAUAUUUCAGUAUAUCUGCAAAAAAUCCUUACACGGGUUCCUACUGCCUUCGGGAGAAAGUCCAAGUUUUUAAGCAUAAACUGGCCCCUGUCUCCCUCUCCUGAUUGGCCUCCAGCCAGUGUCCCCGCGUGUCCCCCAUCCUAGCUGACCCCAAAAGUCACACCUCUGUGUUCCUGUAGUUCUCUUGUCCCUCUUGCCUUGCUCACCCCUUGGCAAACGGUUACAUCUUCAACACCCAGUUCAGGCUGGAUCUCCUCUGACCUCCCCAGGGGUUUCUCCUGGGUACGUCACCUGGGCCAUGUGCUUUGUCUCCAUCUGACAUACCUGACCUUGAUUUAUUUUCCUUCAUCUCCGCUGCACUGAGGCAGCGUGACCACAAGGGCUCCUGUCAGCCCUCUCUGUGUCUUCGCUGUCAAUCCUCAGUAAGAUUUUUACUUAAUAAAUGAAUGAUAGGUAUAUGUACCCAUCUAAUG